UUAUGUUAAGAAUUGGUUAUAUACUUUUAAUCUUGGUUGUUAGAUUGCAUUCAUUAAAUGUGUUGGUAGUCUCUUAAAUGCAAUCCAACGGCCGAAAUUAGAAGUAUGUAACCAAUCUUUAACUUAAAUACUUAUUGGAGAAUGGUUAAUCGUUUUAUUAGUCCCUGAAUUUAGACCCGAUUUGCAUUUGAGUACCUCAAUUUCUAAAAUGGUUCCCGUGGUCCUUUAACUUUAGUUUCGUUAGAACAAAUGGUCAUGCCAUCAAUUUUGUUAACUUUUCUGUUAAAUGCAGGGGCAAAAUUGUAUUUUUGUAUCAAAAUUGAUUAAAAUAUGAAUAAAUAAUUAAAAUUAAACUCUCUCUCUCCCCCUCUAUCCUGAUUCUACUCCCCCCAAACUUGAUUUGUUAUUUUUGUUUUGUUUUUUAUUUGAUUUAAUUUUAUUGUUAUUUUAAAGAUAUAAUUUUUUAUUCAUUUUUUUGGUUUUAAUAUAAAAAUACCAUUUUGCCCCUUGCAUUUAAUAGAAAAAAUUAACAAAA
RNAcentral lists this long non-coding RNA (535 nucleotides) under Prunus persica (peach). Its description in RNAcentral is "long non-coding RNA (PPER_LNC007183)". The record is from RNAcentral. Lineage: Eukaryota; Viridiplantae; Streptophyta; Magnoliopsida; Rosales; Rosaceae.